UCGUGACUUGUAUUGUGAGUUGAACAGGAAAGUGAGAACAAAGGCGUUGUUGUAGCCAUUUUGGCCAUGCUACAACGAUGCAGACAGCUCUCUUUGUCACUCCUACAACGUGCUUGUUCAAACAACACAUUUUCUUUCAGGUUUUGUGCUUUAGGCAGAGUGACAUGAUGCAGGAUGGAGUUGCGAAGAGUUCCAGGACAUGGUCAAAGAUGGCUGGAACAGUCGGAUGGAUUUGCAAUCAUGCAAUAAAGGCCCACAUGAGACGCCAUGGUCAAAUGGUUGGAGAUCGUUGAGAGUUUGCAGCUAUUGAUGAAAGUUGUUGUAAUAAUAGCAAGUAUCACCACAGAAGGGCCGGUGCAACAUGGCGACGGAAAAAGUGGGUAUUAAGAAUAUUAGGAGUAGGUGACCGCCAGAAACAUCCUGUCUUGUGGCUGGUGUGGUUAAACAAGUGCGUCCGGGAACCACCGUCAUCAGUGACCAAUGGGGCACUUACAGGAGUGCAUUGACUGCGACAGGCUACAGGCACUUCACAGUGAACCACUGUCAGUAGUUUGCGGAUCCAAACACCUUGCGCGCCUCCCAGUAUGUCAACCCCAGCUUUCUCUGUGGACCAUGCA
Engraulis encrasicolus (European anchovy) is the source of this 617-nucleotide long non-coding RNA. RefSeq lists it as uncharacterized. The transcript is spliced from 3 exons. Lineage: Eukaryota; Metazoa; Chordata; Actinopteri; Clupeiformes; Engraulidae. The record is from RefSeq and is a predicted model, not a curated record.